This is a long non-coding RNA of Stylophora pistillata, 1553 nucleotides long. The record is from RefSeq and is a predicted model, not a curated record. Lineage: Eukaryota; Metazoa; Cnidaria; Anthozoa; Scleractinia; Pocilloporidae.
GCGUUAGCCCUUCGUCGGAGCCAAUAGGGGAAUUGUGGGUUGUGUGUGCUUUUAAAGGCAAAUGUUGGGUGGACUGCUCUUAAACUGGACACUGACAAGCUGCUAGGAUCAUUGUCAUCUGUGAUUAACUCUGCCUUUUUCAGUUUCUAGAUGGUUGUUCUCGUAGGCAUUUUUGAAGACUUUGUAUCGACUAAUUUGUUUCUCUGAAUUAGUCCAUCUCUCACUCUCAUAUAACUGAGUUACAAAGCACUCCGGGUUACAAAUCCUGGAACGAGAAAAAAAAAAAGACGCAGAAAAUGUCGAAAGAGACAUAGAAGAAGAUGUUCGAGAAGAAGAAGGAAAAGACCAGAUUUUAGUCGUGUGAAGCUGGUGCUCAAAGUUACGAAAACACCAGCAGAAAAACGUGAAAAUAUAACUGAGAGUGUGGGAGAGGAUCUCAGUAAUGAUGUAUCUCCUAUCAUGACGUCAGUGGCAGCGCCUGUUACCGUAUGUAGCACAGGAUUGCUACUCCUAAAUGCGCUAACACUUUAUGUUUGACUGCCUGGAUGUGACCUGAUUAGAAACGUCAUUUCAGAGCGCUUAAAAGUCUGGGAACUCUUCUGAUGAGUUAUGGAGGCCAAAAGGAUUAGGACGACAAAUAACCUGCCUCAAAUCUGGGCCGUGACAGAGUAUUGUAGGAAAAAAUAUAAUACAAGGCUCAGUGGAACAGCUGCCAGUGGACAACCUCAUAUUUACGUACAAAUUAACAUAAUAUUGUGAACAGCAGAGUGAGAAAUGUGAUAGAGAAAGUAGAAAUGACCAGGAUAAUACAAAUAACUAUAAUAAUACAGUUUCAACUGUUCAACGUGCCACAUUCUGACCUCUUCUUUGUUUUUACUUUGUAGACGAAGGCACAGGUUAAUUUGCUCAAUCUUGCGCUCAGUCAUAACGUCACCAUUAUUGAAUGACGUUUGAAUUUCACAGAAUAUAAGUAUUUUUUGCGUCAACUACCUCUUCCUUCAAGGACUACCUCUUUUGUAAAAGUUACAUGGUUUCUUAAAGUUCACGAAACCCUGAUCCUUAAAAGACUGGGUUGUGACGAAGACGAACCCUCGCCGUCCAUAACCCUCUCUGCACCCGUUCCGUGGGAUAAAAAAACAGAGUUGUAAAAAGAAAAGCCUUCGAUGGAAUGUGUGUCUACUGCUAGAGUUUCCAAAUAGGCUUUCAAAUAUAUUGCUACAAAGUUUCUUUCACUGCCCUCUUCUUAUCGCGAGAGCGAUGAAAUCGAUCGAUUUGCUUUUCUGAGACAGUUUAUUUUAAGUGAAAUUGUUACUCCCUUGAACCAAACAAGUAAUCAAACUGGCGCGCUUUUGUUUUUGCCUUUGGCACAAAUAAUGGCGCUUUCAACAGGUAUAUGGACAAACACAAUGACAAAUCGUAAUUGCGGUCACGAGUCCCUCUUCACGUGUACAGGGUGUAUGUGUAUUAAGUACAUCAAAGAAAGUCGUUUGUCAAACUUUCUAUCAUAGCUAGAUAUUUAUACAUAUAUUUUUAAUAAAAUUGUUAUUAUAGCA